This is a long non-coding RNA of Dermochelys coriacea (leatherback sea turtle), 168 nucleotides long. RefSeq lists it as uncharacterized. The record is from RefSeq and is a predicted model, not a curated record. The transcript is spliced from 3 exons. Lineage: Eukaryota; Metazoa; Chordata; Testudines; Dermochelyidae.
AACGGAGCUAUGAAAGGGCAUAUCUGCAUUCCUGCAGCGAUUCCAAAACAAUGACAAGAGUGGCCACUUGACUUAAGGGGAUUAUGGGAUGUUUCCGGAGGCCGAUCAGAGCGCAGUAAAGGAACAUCUCGUUCACACUGACGCCAGGGCAGUCCGGUGGGGGUGCAG